This 253-nucleotide ribosomal RNA is filed under the name uncultured bacterium. Its description in RNAcentral is "partial 16S ribosomal RNA". It matches the Rfam family "Bacterial small subunit ribosomal RNA", at positions 524 to 776 of the family's 1533-position model. The record is from RNAcentral.
CACGUAGGCACCAAGCGUUGUCCGGAUUUAUUGGGCGUAAAGGGCGCGUAGGCGGCUUUGCAAGUGACGGGUGAAAGCCCUCGGCUUAACCGAGGAACUGCCUGUCAGACUGUAAGGCUUGAGACCGGGAGAGGUGAGUGGAAUUCCCAGUGUAGCGGUGAAAUGCGUAGAUAUUGGGAGGAACACCAGUGGCGAAGGCGGCUCACUGGACCGGAACUGACGCUGAGGCGCGAAAGCGUGGGGAGCAAACAGG